This 253-nucleotide ribosomal RNA is filed under the name uncultured bacterium. RNAcentral describes it as "partial 16S ribosomal RNA". It matches the Rfam family "Bacterial small subunit ribosomal RNA", at positions 524 to 776 of the family's 1533-position model. The record is from RNAcentral.
UACGUAGGGUGCGAGCGUUGUCCGGAAUUCUUGGGCGUAAAGGGCUCGUAGGCGGUUUGUCGCGUCGGGAGUGAAAUCCACUGGCUUAACUGGUGGCUUGCUUUCGAUACGGGCAGACUGGAGGUAUGCAGGGGAGAACGGAAUUCCUGGUGUAGCGGUGAAAUGCGCAGAUAUCAGGAGGAACACCGGUGGCGAAGGCGGGUCUCUGGGCCGAUACUGACGCUGAGGAGCGAAAGCGUGGGGAGCGAACAGG